GCCUGGGUGGCUCAGUCGGUUAAGCGUCUGACUUCGGCUCAGGUCAUGAUCUCGCGGUCCGUGAGUUCGAGCCCCGCUUCGGGCU
Molecule: transfer RNA, 85 nt
Filed under: Felis catus (domestic cat)
Lineage: Eukaryota; Metazoa; Chordata; Mammalia; Carnivora; Felidae
Rfam family: tRNA
About the family: Transfer RNA (tRNA) molecules are approximately 80 nucleotides in length. Their secondary structure includes four short double-helical elements and three loops (D, anti-codon, and T loops). Further hydrogen bonds mediate the characteristic L-shaped molecular structure. tRNAs have two regions of fundamental functional importance: the anti-codon, which is responsible for specific mRNA codon recognition, and the 3' end, to which the tRNAs corresponding amino acid is attached (by aminoacyl-tRNA synthetases). tRNAs cope with the degeneracy of the genetic code in two manners: having more than one tRNA (with a specific anti-codon) for a particular amino acid; and 'wobble' base-pairing, i.e. permitting non-standard base-pairing at the 3rd anti-codon position.
Source: Rfam by way of RNAcentral